UCACGCAUUGGCUGGAUGUAUAAAUAGGCCGUGAGUCAUUUCUGAUGUUAACAUUUCACUGGUGAUCGAGAAAUUAGCAUAGUUUAGUUGCUUAUAACAGUUGUUAUCUUUUCAUACCAAGAUCGGAUUCAUAUUAUCAUAAAAACAGCUGUCGUGCCAGGAACGGACGUUACCUGCACCUGCUGAAACAAUUCUGCACUAACUAGCAAAUCUUCAACAAACAAGCUAAUUCUUGGCGAUCGAGUGUUGAAGAAAGUUUGUACUUAUAUCUAAGUAACUUGAAUAAGGAAGUAAAGACCGAGAUUAUUAUGGGAAAUAGUGGAGGAGGAAGCGGUGGAGGCGGUGGAGGUGGCGGUGGGUUUGGAAAUGGCACUGGAACAACAAAUACCGGGGACAAAGAUUCUGCCUCUAAGUCCCUACGUGUCAGACCCAUUAUACUGGACCUGUUUCAUGAGGCACGAAGACCGGUUAAUCUACUGACUGCAUGUGGCAAUGAAAGAGUCCCCUUUAUAUAGGGACAUUGCUCUACAUAAACAUAAACAAAUUAUGAUCGCCAAACAAACAUUAGAUUUUAAAUGAAUAUAAAUACGUUUUUACUAUCAAAACUACAUCAUGUACCCCUCUGUCAUUCGUUUGAGAAAAUAAACUCAAUUGUUUAUU
This is a long non-coding RNA of Mya arenaria, 660 nucleotides long. RefSeq lists it as uncharacterized. The transcript is spliced from 4 exons. Lineage: Eukaryota; Metazoa; Mollusca; Bivalvia; Myida; Myidae. The record is from RefSeq and is a predicted model, not a curated record.